Molecule: non-coding RNA, 45 nt
Organism: Echinostoma caproni
Lineage: Eukaryota; Metazoa; Platyhelminthes; Trematoda; Plagiorchiida; Echinostomatidae
Source: Rfam
GCACUGCUGACGAGUCCGAAACGGGACGAAACAGCUGUCCAGUGC